Molecule: long non-coding RNA, 232 nt
Filed under: Mustela putorius furo (domestic ferret)
Lineage: Eukaryota; Metazoa; Chordata; Mammalia; Carnivora; Mustelidae
Description: lncRNA (ENSMPUG00000029420.1)
Source: RNAcentral
UGCCUGUCUCAUUCCUGGCCUGCCCUGAAGCAGCUGUCCAAAAACCAUUAGUUUAUGGGCUCAGUUUUGUCCAAGACCUGGACCAAUAAGCAUGAAGCAAUUCUACAUAUUUGGAUUUGUUUCUUUCCUGGCCCAUGAAGGAAGAAUCCAUGACCCAAAGUGUCCAAACUUGGAGAAGAACCUCUUGACAAGAUCAAGUGUAAGAUGAAUAAGAAAUCAAUUUGUACUGAAC